Molecule: ribosomal RNA, 537 nt
Filed under: uncultured Acinetobacter sp.
Lineage: Bacteria; Pseudomonadati; Pseudomonadota; Gammaproteobacteria; Moraxellales; Moraxellaceae
Description: bacterial SSU rRNA
Rfam family: Bacterial small subunit ribosomal RNA
Source: RNAcentral
UAUCACUUAGCGGCGGACGGGUGAGUAAUGCUUAGGAAUCUGCCUAUUAGUGGGGGACAACAUUCCGAAAGGAAUGCUAAUACCGCAUACGUCCUACGGGAGAAAGCAGGGGACCUUCGGGCCUUGCGCUAAUAGAUGAGCCUAAGUCGGAUUAGCUAGUUGGUGGGGUAAAGGCCUACCAAGGCGACGAUCUGUAGCGGGUCUGAGAGGAUGAUCCGCCACACUGGGACUGAGACACGGCCCAGACUCCUACGGGAGGCAGCAGUGGGGAAUAUUGGACAAUGGGGGGAACCCUGAUCCAGCCAUGCCGCGUGUGUGAAGAAGGCCUUUUGGUUGUAAAGCACUUUAAGCAGUGAAGAAGACUCUUCGGUUAAUACCCGGAGACGAUGACAUUAGCUGCAGAAUAAGCACCGGCUAACUCUGUGCCAGCAGCCGCGGUAAUACAGAGGGUGCAGGCGUUAAUCGGAAUUACUGGGCGUAAAGGGAGCGUAGGUGGCUCGAUAAGUCAGAUGUGAAAUCCCCGGGCUCAACCUGGGA